GGCCAGAUUGAGCUUCGGCUCUCUGGUC
RNAcentral lists this unclassified non-coding RNA (28 nucleotides) under Human immunodeficiency virus 2. Its description in RNAcentral is "RNA (28-MER) from Human immunodeficiency virus 2 (PDB 2KMJ, chain A)". Lineage: Riboviria; Pararnavirae; Artverviricota; Revtraviricetes; Ortervirales; Retroviridae. The record is from RNAcentral.